This 1329-nucleotide long non-coding RNA is filed under the name Neodiprion pinetum (white pine sawfly). RNAcentral describes it as "uncharacterized LOC124213013, transcript variant X4". The record is from RNAcentral. Lineage: Eukaryota; Metazoa; Arthropoda; Insecta; Hymenoptera; Diprionidae.
CUGGCCGUUGAAAAUACCCUCUCCAAAUACACUUUCGUCGUGAACAACGAAUCGCAACAUGGCAAAAUCUGGAUUGUCUACCUCAAAUUCGCAGCAUUCAUCCCAUAUUGGAUUGAAGCCAUUGUUCUCUGAAAUAUAUAGAGUGCCAUCUUUCAAAAUCCUUGGAGCACCUGCCACUUCUGAUCUCUUUGAUGUCCCUGAACUCGACUGCAAAUUUCGACAGGUAUUUCAAUAACGAGUUUGACGUAAGAGCCUUUAACUCGGAUCUCAACACUUGGCACUUCUGAAGCGUAGAAAGGCUUAUACAAGACGUGGGUAUAAUAUGUGUUCGACCGUUCGCGGCUAUCUGAAAGUGGAAGUAAAAUCUACCAGCUAAUUCGAUAAAAUGCGAUAAAAAAGUUGCACUUCGCUGCGGUCAGCAUGCUCUGUAUUAAUCGGGUGAUGGUAAAUAAACGAUGUGCGCUUACUAUCCAGUACCGAAGCCAUUCUUUUUCAGCGGGUGAGUUGUUUGUCGAUAAACAUAUUGAAUAAUCUAGGGAAUUUACUUCUUUACUUCCUGAAGCGUUGACUGAAGAAUGUAAAGAAAGUUGCCCCAAUGGACUUUGAUGUGACAACCAAAAAUCGUCGUGCGCUUACGCUCCCUGAGAUUUUCCAAUGAUAGAGUUGAGAACUUAUUGCAGAACAUCAGAGAGUUACCGAUUUCGUCUUGAUGCUGGCUGCAUUCGCCUUCCGAGUAACACAGUCUUCGCAAUGGUAAGUCCAUAGACUUUUAUAAGUCUAUGGGUAAGCCCAAGCCAGUACUUAACCUGUGUGUACUUACCGGCUUGUCGGUGAUGCAAGAAAUUGAUACUGAGAACAAAUUUCGUCCAAUAUUCGUAGCAAAACAGUGAUUUAAUUAAAGUAUAGGUACCCGAGAGAAGAAUGCAUGAAUAGAUCAUAAAUAAUAAUAGAUCAGAUGUAAUAAUGAUGCGGAGACCAAAAAGUAUAUGAUAAAUAAAAGGAUAUAGGUAUGUAUGUGCGGUCCAUGUACGAUAUUGAUAAAUAUGACCCAUUUACGAUUGGUACGUGAUGCAUACUAUAAAUUUUAUAAUUUUCCAGGAGACAAACCAGAUUGUUUACAAUAAUUGGCUAUGAUAUAAAAAUAGAAGAAUUAUUCAUUUCGAAAUGGGAUUCUAUUCGACGCGCGCUCGAUGUAUUCCAUAACAUUAGUAUUCAUAAUCAUUCCAACAACUCUUCAUUUACUCUCUCGAUCUUGAAUUUUCAUAGGCAUAGAAUCGAAACGCUGUUUUAGCUCGUCGCAAGUGAAGUAUCUGCGUUGGGUGGAGGAGC